GAUGAACGCUGGCGGCGUGCCUAAUACAUGCAAGUCGAGCGAACAGACGAGGAGCUUGCUCCUCUGACGUUAGCGGCGGACGGGUGAGUAACACGUGGAUAACCUACCUAUAAGACUGGGAUAACUUCGGGAAACCGGAGCUAAUACCGGAUAAUAUAUUGAACCGCAUGGUUCAAUAGUGAAAGACGGUUUUGCUGUCACUUAUAGAUGGAUCCGCGCCGCAUUAGCUAGUUGGUAAGGUAACGGCUUACCAAGGCGACGAUGCGUAGCCGACCUGAGAGGGUGAUCGGCCACACUGGAACUGAGACACGGUCCAGACUCCUACGGGAGGCAGCAGUAGGGAAUCUUCCGCAAUGGGCGAAAGCCUGACGGAGCAACGCCGCGUGAGUGAUGAAGGUCUUCGGACCGUAAAACUCUGUUAUUAGGGAAGAACAAAUGUGUAAGUAACUAUGCACGUCUUGACGGUACCUAAUCAGAAAGCCACGGCUAACUACGU
This 496-nucleotide ribosomal RNA is filed under the name uncultured bacterium. RNAcentral's name for it is "partial 16S ribosomal RNA". It matches the Rfam family "Bacterial small subunit ribosomal RNA", at positions 28 to 506 of the family's 1533-position model. The record is from RNAcentral.